GACGAACGCUGGCGGCGUGCUUAACACAUGCAAGUCGAACGGAAAGGCCCUGCUUUUGUGCGCUGGUCGGGUGGCCACGGGGUGACUAACACGUAAGUAACCUGUCCCUGCCUUUGGGAUAACUUCAGGCAACUGAGGCUCAUACCAGAAAGGAUCUACCGCUUCAUGGUGGGGGUUCGUAAGUUUCGGUGGUUGGGGAUGGACUCGCGGCUUAUCAGCUUGUUGGUGGGGUAGUGGCUUACCAAGGCUUUGAAGGGUAGCCGGCCUGAGAGGGUGACCGGCCACAUUGGGACUGAGAUACGGCCCAGACUCCUACGGGAGGCAGCAGUGGGGAAUAGUGCACAAUGGGCGGAAGCCUGAUGCAGCAACGCCGCGUGCGGGAUGACGGCCUUCGGGUUGUAAACCGCUUUCGCCUGUGACGAAGCGUGAGUGACGGUAAUGGGUAAAGAAGCACCGGCUAACUACGUG
RNAcentral lists this ribosomal RNA (468 nucleotides) under uncultured bacterium. RNAcentral's name for it is "partial 16S ribosomal RNA". It matches the Rfam family "Bacterial small subunit ribosomal RNA", at positions 28 to 507 of the family's 1533-position model. The record is from RNAcentral.